AUUGAACGCUGGCGGCAGGCCUAACACAUGCAAGUCGAGCGGAUGAAGGGAGCUUGCUCCUGGAUUCAGCGGCGGACGGGUGAGUAAUGCCUAGGAAUCUGCCUGGGAGUGGGGGAUAACGUCCGGAAACGGGCGCUAAUACCGCAUACGUCCUGAGGGAGAAAGUGGGGGAUCUUCGGACCUCACGCUAUCAGAUGAGCCUAGGUCGGAUUAGCUAGUUGGUGGGGUAAAGGCCUACCAAGGCGACGAUCCGUAACUGGUCUGAGAGGAUGAUCAGUCACACUGGAACUGAGACACGGUCCAGACUCCUACGGGAGGCAGCAGUGGGGAAUAUUGGACAAUGGGCGAAAGCCUGAUCCAGCCAUGCCGCGUGUGUGAAGAAGGUCUUCGGAUUGUAAAGCACUUUAAGUUGGGAGGAAGGGCAGUAAGUUAAUACCUUGCUGUUUUGACGUUACCAACAGAAGAAGCACCGGCUAACUUCGUG
RNAcentral lists this ribosomal RNA (484 nucleotides) under uncultured bacterium. RNAcentral describes it as "partial 16S ribosomal RNA". It matches the Rfam family "Bacterial small subunit ribosomal RNA", at positions 30 to 507 of the family's 1533-position model. The record is from RNAcentral.